RNAcentral lists this ribosomal RNA (277 nucleotides) under uncultured bacterium. RNAcentral's name for it is "partial 16S ribosomal RNA". It matches the Rfam family "Bacterial small subunit ribosomal RNA", at positions 337 to 611 of the family's 1533-position model. The record is from RNAcentral.
CCCUACGGGGGGCAGCAGUGAGGAAUAUUGGUCAAUGGUCGGGAGACUGAACCAGCCAAGCCGCGUGAGGGAGGAAGGUACAGCGUAUCGUAAACCUCUUUUGUCAGGGAACAAAGACUGGGACGCGUCCCCGGAUGAGUGUACCUGAAGAAAAAGCAUCGGCUAACUCCGUGCCAGCAGCCGCGGUAAUACAAAGGAUGCGAGCGUUAUCCGGAUUUAUUGGGUUUAAAGGGUGCGCAGGCGGUCUGUUAAGUCAGCGGUCAAAGCCCGGGGCUCA